RNAcentral lists this ribosomal RNA (1296 nucleotides) under Triticum aestivum (bread wheat). RNAcentral's name for it is "partial small subunit ribosomal RNA". Lineage: Eukaryota; Viridiplantae; Streptophyta; Magnoliopsida; Poales; Poaceae. The record is from RNAcentral.
AUGGGGGCAAAAAUUGACCGAUCUGUAAACGAUGGUGGAGGUCCAAAGAUUUUUAAAAUUAAUGGUCAGGUCUGUCAUCGUAUAGGCUCGCUGCUUCCAAAUGAGGGUGAUUCUCCCAAAUAUGCAGAGUUAUACAUACAUGACAGAGAAAAUGAGGUUAGCAAUAGGAUCCAGGCCUUAAGUCAGCAGAAUGAAACUGGUGCUGGGUUAGAUAAGGAGAUUGUGAAGGGUCUUAUGCAGAUGCUUGAUGCAAAUAAUUCUUUGGUCAAAAAAUUCCGUAUGGCCAGCGAGAUAUUGAAUAAUAAUAAACAUGAGGUGAUUUCAAUAAGGCUUAUAACUCCUGGAGAAAAUGAUAGCGCACAGUUUAAUUUGCCUGCAAUUGAUGAGCUAGCAGCUUCGGUUUAUGGUGAGUUUACGUUGGAGGUGCCAUGUAGAGACCUGAUAAUACGCACUAAAGCAGAUCGUCUUCGUCGUAUUUCCUCUUUAGAUACUACUUACAUGCCUUUGCAAUAUCCUUUGUUGUUCCCGUACGGUGAACGUGGCUUUCAGCUCGGUGUGCGCUAUAUUGAUUCUGCUAGUGAUGACCCGAACAAGAGGGUUGAAAUGACCAUGCAAGACUUCUAUUGCUUCUUCUCGCAUUGUAAACCAGAACAACAUAAUCCAUAUCUAUGUUGUGGCCUGUUGUCAUCACAGGCUGCUGUUGAUUUCCGAGCCUGCAUCGAUGAAUGCCGGCUCAAUUUUAUUCUUAAGUGUAACAAUGAUAUGCGGGCUGAGAAUCUUCACGGUGUUGUCGACGCGGUAGGACAGGGUAUGGUUGGUGGGUCCGAGGUUGGGAAGAAGAAUAUUAUGCCGUCGGCUUACACUGGUGGUCGUCGGUAUAUGUAUGAAAAUUUUCAAGAUGCUAUUGCUGUCUCACGGGUUCAUGGGUCGCCGGAUGUCUUCACAACUUUCACAUGUAACCCAAAGUGGGAACAAAUCCUUGACUCCGUUGAGCCUGGCCAAACAGCGACGGAUAGGGCUGACAUUGCUGUUAGGGUGUACCACAUGAAACUUUUGCAAUACCUUCAUCGAAUUAAAAAUGGGAAUGCCUUUGGUCUCGUAGUUGCUGGUACUGCCCCUUGCAAUCCUCUUUCAAUUCCCUUCUCCUCCUUUUAUUUACUUCUUACUAUUUCUUCCGCCUUUUCCUCCUAUUUUCAGUCUUGCACACUAUUGAGUUUCAGAAGAGGGGGUUGCCGCAUGCACACAUACUUGUUUGGCAAAAGGACGACGAUAGGGUCGUCACACCAGCCCUUAUAA